UACGUAGGUGGCAAGCGUUGUCCGGAAUUACUGGGCGUAAAGAAUGCGUAGGCGGUCUUUUAAGUGGGAUGUGAAAUCCCUGGGCUCAACCCAGGAACUGCAUUCCAAACUGGAAGACUAGAGUGCGGGAGAGGAAAUUGGUAUUCCCAGUGUAGCGGUGAAAUGCGUAGAGAUUGGGAGGAACACCAGUAGCGAAGGCGAAUUUCUGGAACGUAACUGACGCUGAGGCAUGAAAGCGUGGGGAGCAAAC
This 250-nucleotide ribosomal RNA is filed under the name uncultured bacterium. Its description in RNAcentral is "partial 16S ribosomal RNA". It matches the Rfam family "Bacterial small subunit ribosomal RNA", at positions 524 to 773 of the family's 1533-position model. The record is from RNAcentral.